RNAcentral lists this ribosomal RNA (607 nucleotides) under Hansenula anomala. RNAcentral's name for it is "eukaryotic LSU rRNA". It matches the Rfam family "Eukaryotic large subunit ribosomal RNA", at positions 37 to 657 of the family's 3401-position model. The record is from RNAcentral. Lineage: Eukaryota; Fungi; Ascomycota; Saccharomycetes; Phaffomycetales; Wickerhamomycetaceae.
UGCAUAUCAAUAAGCGGAGGAAAAGAAACCAACAGGGAUUGCCUCAGUAACGGCGAGUGAAGCGGCAAAAGCUCAAAUUUGAAAUCUAGCACCUUCGGUGUUCGAGUUGUAAUUUGAAGAUGGUAACCUUGGGUUUGGCUCUUGUCUAUGUUCCUUGGAACAGGACGUCAUAGAGGGUGAGAAUCCCGUCUGAUGAGAUGCCCAUUCCUAUGUAAGGUGCUAUCGAAGAGUCGAGUUGUUUGGGAAUGCAGCUCUAAGUGGGUGGUAAAUUCCAUCUAAAGCUAAAUAUUGGCGAGAGACCGAUAGCGAACAAGUACAGUGAUGGAAAGAUGAAAAGAACUUUGAAAAGAGAGUGAAAAAGUACGUGAAAUUGUUGAAAGGGAAGGGCAUUAGAUCAGACUUGGUGUUUUACGAUUAUCUUCUCUUCUUGAGUUGUGCACUCGUAUUUCACUGGGCCAGCAUCGAUUCGGAUGGCAAGAUAAUGGCAGUUGAAUGUGGCUUCACUUCGGUGGAGUGUUAUAGCUUCUGCUGAUAUUGCCUGUCUGGAUCGAGGGCUGCGUCUUUUGACUAGGAUGCUGGCGUAAUGAUCUAAUGCCGCCCGUCUUGA